This 232-nucleotide long non-coding RNA is filed under the name Mytilus galloprovincialis (Mediterranean mussel). The record is from RNAcentral. Lineage: Eukaryota; Metazoa; Mollusca; Bivalvia; Mytilida; Mytilidae.
CUGCAACAAUAAAAAAAAUAAACAAAAACAAAAACAAAAACAAAAAAAAUAUAAUAUUCUUCAUGACUUGUAAUAUCUGAAUACAUCAGAUGUUUUAAAAAAAAGUUAAAAUAGUAUUUUAGCAACAAUGCACAAAAAAAAACAGAAACACCAAUAAGAGAUUUUGUUUGAGUCCUUGACUGUUAACAUGUAUUUUAGUCAUUUCAUAGCUCCUAAUGAUCUAGUAAUAAAA